AGAAGCACGCAUAAACCUUGUUCGCCGCUGCCCAUGCCACGAUAGUGUGGGUGGAUCAGACAAGACACACGCUCACCACGACAGAUCCCACCCUCGCACUCGCUGCAUCACGCGCACACCUCUCCGGCGAUUGCGAUAAGACGACCUGUAGGGCUCAUUUCUGCGAUAACCGCCCCGAAGGACGCUUCAAUGGACAGCAUCGUCUCCCUCCCCGCUGCAUCUGACUGCGCGGAUCCGCUGCUAGCGCGGCUGCAGGACAGUUACACGCGACAGAAGCGUCAGAUCGCGGCACAGAAGCGCAAGCAGGUGGAUGCCGAACUCCAGGCUGCCGCGGCGCACUGCAGCGACCUGCCUGUUACUCUAGAGCUUCUCUCUGACGGAACAGCGUCCCUCUUCGAUGAGCUGGAGCGGUUGCUGGAGGCCCGCCGUGAGCAGUGGAACACUCCUAGUCGGGAGCUGGCCCUGCUACAGCACAUUCGGCUACAAACGAACCGGGAGCUGCGCGAGUGUAUGUCGUUCAUUGAGGAGGGCUACACAUCCGGGUUUGAGAAGCUGCUGCGCGAAAGCCGGCUUGAUGGACGGAAAUCAGCGCUCCCCGAGACAGCCGUGUCCUUGUCGCCCGCGACAAGCACGUUAAACAAUGUGCAGCAAGCAAAGGCCGCAUCGGUGGGGCCAUCGGUGACGCCGGUGGAUGCGCCUUCGCAUCUCUCGGUGAGGGAGGCGCUCUCAGAAUCCAUCAGUCUUAUGGCGGAAUCUUUGGCAGUGCUGCUGCAGUGCGAAGUGGUGCGAGUGUACCUGUACGACACCAACGCGCAUCUCAAGUGCGUCGCGCAGUUCCCUUACCGUGCCCAGCGCGCCGACCCGAUGCACUCGAGCUAUCUCGCCCUGAUGGCUGUGCGCGAGGUUCAUCACAUUGUGUGCCAAGAGCGCCUGGUUAUCAACGGCUGGCUCAGCAAAUCGCAGAGCGCCAACGACGGCAGCGGCAGAGCUGCCGCCGCGCACAACGUUGGAAGCAGCACCGCAGCAAGCGGGCUCGAGGACAUUCGAACCUGUCUGCUGUUGCCCAUCUUCUCCCCGGAAGGGGCGGGAAAGCCGUACGGACUGGUACACGCGGUCAACAAACAGUAUCCCACCGCCCUCGGUGCCGCGACCGACGACUCGACGGAGGUCGCGCACGUCGGCUUCACUGCAGACGACGAGACGCUGGCAUCGAGCGUCGCGCGCGUACUCGGAACCAUCCUCCACCGCUACCCUGUCGAGCUCUUCUUCGCCUCUGGCACGGGUGAGAAGCUACGUCGGAGCGCUUUUCCUCGCGAUGCCGAGGUGUUAAGCCUAACGGCGCAUCUGCCGCCCAUCCUGCAGGACGAAGUUCAGGAUGCCGCGGAGGUCGCUCAGCUUGCCUUGUCCCACCUCACGCCCAUUCUCGCGCAUCGAGUGCCCAUGGAUGCCAUUUACGAGGCUCGUACCGCGGCCGGGGAAGGGCGGCGGCGUAAGCUGGCCGUCAUCGGACCCCGCGAAGGCGCGGUUUCCUCCGUAGAAUUCAAUCUGCGCUGCAUGAAGGAGCUGUGGGAGAGCAGCCGGGAUGACAACGUGACGCUGCACAAGCAAUGCCGCACCUUGCAAGAGCAGGUGCACGCCAUGCGACUGCUCUUGCGCAAUGUGCUGGACGGGCUGGCUGUCGCGCGCGCGAUGCAGCUUAGCACUGACGUGGCACAGUUCCUCCACAACCUUGAGAUGUACGGGCGGACAGAGCGGACAGAGCGCAUGGCGGAGUACGUGUCGGAGAAGAUGCUAGCCAUCCCCGAUAACACCGUCGGCGGACCUGGUGCCGCGGACGCGCGCGCGAAGGCUCCCAGCUUGGAAGCGGACACGAAUGCGACGCAAUACCACAUGCGCGGCAGCGACUUACAGACUCUUCAAAAUCAUCACGCUCGCCUCAACACAGUGACACCCGCCUCACUGCACUUUGACGGGCCCAGCGGCGUCCGCAGCUACACUUCCGAUCCAGCGCAGAAGCGUGAGCAGGUGCGCUUCAUCGACGAGCUGUGCCGCCUUGCCCGGGACGAGAAGCCCUCGCUGCCGUUAGCGCGCGGAGGAGGUGGCCGACGGCAGGUACUGCCCAGCACCCUUCCUACUGUUACUCGUGCAAAGGCGGCGAGAGGAUCAAAGCCCGCGGUAAAGCAGGAUCCGUACCCAUUUGGACGCCCUUUCAAGCUGUGAGCGAGCGAGUGAGAGAGAGAGAGGCGACGCCGGUGUCGACAAAUGCGUGGUGCGCAGGUAGGCGAUCGCACGAGUACGUGCCAUGGACCCGAAGUCGACAUCCGGCCGCGACAGCGAUGCGGCAGCGAGCGCAAUCGCUGGCCGGACACUCCAGAGCCCACUCAUCUCUCAUUCUCUCCGUGUGUGUGAUCUGCUAUCAUGUACAUUAGACCGCAUACAGUGCAUGCGGUGUGGAGGCUGUGUGCGGGCGUGUCGGCGUGAUUUUGUCUCUGACGCGCACACGCACCUCACACUUUUGUUGUUUCUUCCUCUUUGUCUGUUUUACGUGUGCGAUCAUCGCCUGACUGGGCGUCCUGUCUCUGCGGCUUGCAUGGACACUG
Molecule: unclassified non-coding RNA, 2600 nt
Filed under: Leishmania donovani
Lineage: Eukaryota; Euglenozoa; Kinetoplastea; Trypanosomatida; Trypanosomatidae
Description: gene:LdHU3.34.6180(CDS-product:conserved_protein_ unknown_function)
Source: RNAcentral